This 438-nucleotide ribosomal RNA is filed under the name uncultured bacterium. Its description in RNAcentral is "bacterial SSU rRNA". It matches the Rfam family "Bacterial small subunit ribosomal RNA", at positions 355 to 786 of the family's 1533-position model. The record is from RNAcentral.
UAGGGAAUUUUCGUCAAUGGGGGGAACCCUGAACGAGCAAUGCCGCGUGUGUGAAGAAGGUCUUCGGAUCGUAAAGCACUGUUGUAAGUGAAGAAUGCCAUAUAGAGGAAAUGCUAUGUGGGUGACGGUAGCUUACCAGAAAGCCACGGCUAACUACGUGCCAGCAGCCGCGGUAAUACGUAGGUGGCAAGCGUUAUCCGGAAUCAUUGGGCGUAAAGGGUGCGUAGGUGGCACGAUAAGUCUGAAGUAAAAGGCAACAGCUCAACUGUUGUAUGCUUUGGAAACUGUCGAGCUAGAGUGCAGAAGAGGGCGAUGGAAUUCCAUGUGUAGCGGUAAAAUGCGUAGAUAUAUGGAGGAACACCAGUGGCGAAGGCGGUCGCCUGGUCUGCAACUGACACUGAGGCGCGAAAGCGUGGGGAGCAAACAGGAUUAGAUACC